AUGAAACACUCCUACGGGAGGCAGCAGUGGGGAAUUUUGGACAAUGGGCGCAAGCCUGAUCCAGCAAUGCCGCGUGCAGGAAGAAGGCCUUCGGGUUGUAAACUGCUUUUGUCAGGGAAGAAAUCCUCUGGGUUAAUACCUCGGGGGGAUGACGGUACCUGAAGAAUAAGCACCGGCUAACUACGUGCCAGCAGCCGCGGUAAUACGUAGGGUGUGAGCGUUAAUCGGAAUUACUGGGCGUAAAGCGUGCGCAGGCGGCUUUGCAAGACAGAUGUGAAAUCCCCGGGCUCAACCUGGGAACUGCAUUUGUGACUGCAAGGCUAGAGUACGGUAGAGGGGGAUGGAAUUCCGCGUGUAGCAGUGAAAUGCGUAGAUAUGCGGAGGAACACCAAUGGCGAAGGCAAUCCCCUGGACCUGUACUGACGCUCAUGCACGAAAGCGUGGGGAGCAACCAGGAUUAGAAACCCGAGUAGUCCGAAGUUC
This 483-nucleotide ribosomal RNA is filed under the name uncultured bacterium. RNAcentral describes it as "bacterial SSU rRNA". It matches the Rfam family "Bacterial small subunit ribosomal RNA", at positions 328 to 802 of the family's 1533-position model. The record is from RNAcentral.